Molecule: unclassified non-coding RNA, 821 nt
Filed under: uncultured Stereum
Lineage: Eukaryota; Fungi; Basidiomycota; Agaricomycetes; Russulales; Stereaceae
Description: sequence contains ITS1, 5.8S rRNA gene and ITS2
Rfam family: 5.8S ribosomal RNA (bases 300-453)
Source: RNAcentral
AAGUCGUAACAAGGUUUCCGUAGGUGAACCUGCGGAAGGAUCAUUAUUGAAUGAACUUGGUCGGGCUGAUGCUGGUCUCUCCUUGGAGGGGCAUGUGCACGCCUGGCACCAUCUUCUUUUACCACCUGUGCACCUUUUGUAGACUGUGGGGACUACCUUUCCGAGGUCAAACUCGGUUGAAAGGAUUGCUGAUGCCAGCUUUCCUUUGCCUGUCUUCUUGUCUAUGCCUUUUUUUUUUUAUCACAAAUGUAUGACAAUGAAUGUUAUGUUGGGCAUUAUUGCCUUUAAAAACCUAAUACAACUUUCAACAACGGAUCUCUUGGCUCUCGCAUCGAUGAAGAACGCAGCGAAAUGCGAUAAGUAAUGUGAAUUGCAGAAUUCAGUGAAUCAUCGAAUCUUUGAACGCACCUUGCGCUCCUUGGUAUUCCGAGGAGCAUGCCUGUUUGAGUAUCAUGAAAUUCUCAACCUUGCUUUUGCAUCUGUGAAAUCAAGGUUGGAUUGUGGGGGACCUUUUUGCAGGCUUCAAAUCGAAGUCUGCUCUCCUGAAAUAUAUUAGCAGAGUUGCAUGAACAGCUUUUUAUUGGUGUGAUAAUCAUCUAUGCCAUGGGCUGUGAAAGCGAGUUUGCCUUCCAAUUUUAACAUCCGUUAUUCAUGACUCUUUGAUCUCAAAUCAGGUAGGACUACCCGCUGAACUUAAGCAUAUCAAUAAGCGGAGGAAAAGAAACUAACAAGGAUUCCCCUAGUAACUGCGAGUGAAGCGGGAAGAGCUCAAAUUUAAAAUCUGGCGGUCCUCUGAGCUGUCCGAGUUGUAAUCUAGAGAA